Molecule: small RNA, 436 nt
Filed under: Pan troglodytes (chimpanzee)
Lineage: Eukaryota; Metazoa; Chordata; Mammalia; Primates; Hominidae
Description: retained intron
Source: RNAcentral
GAUGAAUGCUGCUUCGAUGCAAAUCAACCAGAGGGAAGAAAAUGCAAACUGAAACCUGGGAAACAGUGCAGUCCAAGUCAAGGUCCUUGUUGUACAGCACAGUGUGCAUUCAAGUCAAAGUCUGAGAAGUGUCGGGAUGAUUCAGACUGUGCAAGGGAAGGAAUAUGUAAUGGCUUCACAGCUCUCUGCCCAGCAUCUGACCCUAAACCAAACUUCACAGACUGUAAUAGGCAUACACAAGUGUGCAUUAAUGGGCAAUGUGCAGGUUCUAUCUGUGAGAAAUAUGGCUUAGAGGAAUGUACGUGUGCCAGUUCUGAUGGCAAAGAUGAUAAAGAAUUAUGCCAUGUAUGCUGUAUGAAGAAAAGUAAGGCUUUUAAAAACACAAGAGUAUAAAAUCUGCCUCAAACUAUUAUUUUCUCCUAAAUUUUAAGUGUAA